RNAcentral lists this small RNA (121 nucleotides) under Bacteroides galacturonicus. RNAcentral's name for it is "Clostridiales-1 RNA". Lineage: Bacteria; Pseudomonadati; Bacteroidota; Bacteroidia; Bacteroidales; Bacteroidaceae. The record is from RNAcentral.
CCGUGCCAGACAGAAAUUUUCAAAGCUGCUGUGCUUGCACAAAGCUGCUUUUAAAAUUUCUGUCUGAUAGGGCGAUAGCCCGACAGUCCAAGAAAGCCAGAGCUUUCUUGGACCUGCACGG